Long non-coding RNA from Toxotes jaculatrix (banded archerfish), 1029 nucleotides. RefSeq lists it as uncharacterized. NCBI's taxonomy places the organism in Eukaryota, Metazoa, Chordata, Actinopteri, Toxotidae. The record is from RefSeq and is a predicted model, not a curated record. The transcript is spliced from 3 exons.
UCUAGCUCUAAUACCGCCCUUUUUCUUCCCCUUCCUGGUUAUCUUCUUUUUUCGUGUGGUUUGUGGAGUCAAAGUCCCUUCGGAUUUCCUCAGGGAAUGUGUCAGUGGGCACGUUCCGCUAUGGAGGAAGUGCGAGCCGCAGCCGAAAGUCUCUGGAGUAAGUGAGCCGUUGUCCGGCUGGGCGAUUGUGAUGGUUUAGGGUUGCCGUUAUCUUGUCCACCAAUAACCACAAAAAUGUUUCUGUAACACUUCUAACACAAUAAGUUGUGCUAGCUCUGCAGGCCUCUCACAGUGUCUAAGCGGGAUGCGAAAAGCAUUAGCAAAACUUACAGUGAGGGAGUCUUCCAGACAUGACUCGUUCAAUGCCCUUGUAACAUAUUCUGGAGAAAGUCUGACAAAGCCUUCUUUAGACGAUGCCAUGAGUUUUGCUAAUAAAUAUUUGACACAGUUUUGCACCAGAUCAGUUUCCAUUUCAUCCAUGACAACUAAUGAGUGCUCUUGUUUUAACCCAAUGGCUAUUAUGUCACGCUCACUCUCAUCAACUUGCUCAAUAUAUUUCUUAACCAGAGGCCGAAGAUCCUCUAUUGUGAUACUCGGCCUGGUAGGUGGGAAUCGAGCUUCUGCCAGUUUUGACAUUGUGGCCUUGAGUGAGGUCUUAUAGCGUUUGACGAUUCUGCUAGUCUUUGACGAUUCCUCUGGCUUGCUUUUCUUCUGCCUUGACAAUAUUGUGCGGUGCGAAGCACACACAAACACAGACUCACACAGACAUACAUGUGAAGAAGUCUACUGUUGGAGCAGAUGAGAUCAUAUAAAUAAAACAUGACUUGGACUGAUUUGCUGAAGAGGCUCUCGAUCUGCUGAGCAAACACUCAUACAUCGUGUCUGGUGAUGGCUGAAGCAUAUGAAACAACUGUCAGAUUGUCGGACAUUCAGUCUACGGGCUCGAGUUUCCUGCCUUGUCCUGAUCUCAACCAUACAGCGUUACAGCACUGAAGUCCCAUGGUAAUCCUGAUCAUGACAGCCUCUGGU